GUGUGACUGCGUACCUUUUGUAUAAUGGGUCAGCGACUUAUAUUCUGUAGCAAGGUUAACCGAAUAGGGGAGCCGGAGGGAAACCGAGUCUUAAUUGGGCGUUAAGUUGCAGGGUAUAGACCCGAAACCCGGUGAUCUAGCCAUGGGCAGGUUGAAGGUUGGGUAACACUAACUGGAGGACCGAACCGACUAAUGUUGAAAAAUUAGCGGAUGACCUGUGGCUGGGGGUGAAAGGCCAAUCAAACCGGGAGAUAGCUGGUUCUCCCCGAAAGCUAUUUAGGUAGCGCCUCGUGAAUUCAUCUCCGGGGGUAGAGCACUGUUUCGGCUAGGGGGCCAUCCCGGCUUACCAACCCGAUGCAAACUGCGAAUACCGGAGAAUGUUAUCACGGGAGACACACGGCGGGUGCUAACGUCCGUCGUGAAGAGGGAAACAACCCAGACCGCCAGCUAAGGUCCCAAAGUCAUGGUUAAGUGGGAAACGAUGUGGGAAGGCCCAGACAGCCAGGAUGUUGGCUUAGAAGCAGCCAUCAUUUAAAGAAAGCGUAAUAGCUCACUGGUCGAGUCGGCCUGCGCGGAAGAUGUAACGGGGCUAAACCAUGCACCGAAGCUGCGGCAGCGACGCUGAUGCGUUGUUGGGUAGGGGAGCGUUCUGUAAGCCUGCGAAGGUGGCCUGUGAGGGUUGCUGGAGGUAUCAGAA
Molecule: ribosomal RNA, 697 nt
Filed under: Salmonella enterica subsp. enterica serovar Chester
Lineage: Bacteria; Pseudomonadati; Pseudomonadota; Gammaproteobacteria; Enterobacterales; Enterobacteriaceae
Description: partial 23S ribosomal RNA
Rfam family: Bacterial large subunit ribosomal RNA
Source: RNAcentral